CAGGUUUUGCGGGUGAUUGCUCUUGCUUACGAAAUUUCGUUUUGAUUUAUCAAUUUGGUAAGUCAGCAAGGGAGGAAAGUCCGGACUUCAAAGAGCAGUGCAAGGGGUAACGCCCCUCCGUUGUAAGGCGAGGAACAGUGGAACAGAAAGAAUAUCCAGGGCUAUAAUCUUGAGAACGGGAACGGGAGUUUUCAAGGGAGCUGCUGGAGUGAAAACAGCCAAACUCUGCAUGAAGCAAGAUCAAAUAGGGAAGCAUUAGUAGCUCGGCUCGGGUGAAGCUUUCGGGUAGGAUCGCUCGAGGGUUUUGGAGACAAAACUCCCAGAUAAAUAAUCAUCGAAAAUGAUAGAGAAAACUUUUGGGACUUUAUCAUUUAGACAGAAUCCGGCUUAUAGCAAAACCAGUUCC
Molecule: RNase P RNA, 406 nt
Filed under: Deltaproteobacteria bacterium
Lineage: Bacteria; Pseudomonadati; Myxococcota; Myxococcia
Description: RNase P RNA component class A
Rfam family: Bacterial RNase P class A
About the family: Ribonuclease P (RNase P) is a ubiquitous endoribonuclease, found in archaea, bacteria and eukarya as well as chloroplasts and mitochondria. Its best characterised activity is the generation of mature 5'-ends of tRNAs by cleaving the 5'-leader elements of precursor-tRNAs. Cellular RNase Ps are ribonucleoproteins.
Source: RNAcentral